AGCGGAGUGGGGGAGUCAGGAGUCCCCGUUGGGCUCAUAACCCAAAGCUCGCUGGUUCAAAUCCAGUCUCCGCUA
This 75-nucleotide transfer RNA is filed under the name Candidatus Woesearchaeota archaeon. RNAcentral's name for it is "tRNA-Met". It matches the Rfam family "tRNA". Rfam says of the family: Transfer RNA (tRNA) molecules are approximately 80 nucleotides in length. Their secondary structure includes four short double-helical elements and three loops (D, anti-codon, and T loops). Lineage: Archaea; Nanobdellati; Candidatus Woesearchaeota. The record is from RNAcentral.